CUUUUUUUUUUUUUUUUCUUUUUUUCUUUUUAGGGCUUUACCUGCAACACAUGGAAGUUGCCAGGCUAGGGGUCAAAUCAUACCUGUAGUUGUUGGCCUACGCCACGGCCACAGCAAUGCAGGAUCUGAGACACAUCUGCAACCUAUACCAUAGCUCAUGGCAACGCCAGAACCCUGACCCACUAAGUGAGGCCAGAUCAAACCUGCAUCCUCAUGGAUAAUAGUCCAAUUUGUUUCCGAACUCCCACAACUGCCUCACCCCUGCAUCCUCAACCUCAACUCAUUCAUACAACGAAUUAUUUAUUAAGAAUCUACCAUGUUGUAGGCAUUGUCCUGCAGACUGGGACCCAUCUGGAACAAACAUAUUUUAAAAGUGCCUAUUAUAAGCAGGGCCAUAAAGGAAAUAAACAGGAUAUUAGCGUAGAGAAGAAGUGAUCCCUCCAUAUAAGGAGUGAGGGAGCAUCUGUGUGGGUAUCUGGGAAAACUGCCUUUCAGGCAGAGGGAGCAGGAAUACAAAGGCCUUGGCUGGCGUGGUGGGGAGGAGGCGUGUCCUGUGUGUUCUAAGAACAGCGAAGUGUUUGGAGUGGUGUAAGUGAGCUGCUAGUAGAAGUAGAUGAGGUCAGAGAGAUGUGGGGGUGGGAAGACUGACCAUGCUGACUGCGUAAGUCUCAGGAAGAACUCUGGCUUUUAUGCUGAGAUGAGAAGCCGGAGGAGUGGCAUGACCUGGACUUUUAUGUUUUAACCGGGAUCACUGGGUCUGCUGUGUGGAAAACUGCCUGCAAGGGGCAAAGGUUCUGGGACACCAGUUUGUAGGCAUGACUGCCUUCAUCCCUAACUGAUCCCUAACUAGCCUACUUCCCUCUGCCUCUGUAGCUCAUAGCUCCCCAUAUUCUUCUGCCUGGACGUUGUAACAGCCUCCUGCCUGGCCUUCCUGUGGCUUAACUGGCUCCUCAAUCCUUUUUCCACACAACAGCAAAGAGAGAUUUUUGUAAAUGAGAGUUUGAUUCUGUCACUCUGGUCUGUUACAGCCUCCAUGCCUCCCCAUUGCUCUUAGAACAAAGUCCAAAUGCCUGAACGCGGCCACAAGGUCCCAUGAGGUGCAGCUCCUGCUGAAUUUGCUGACCGCCCUGACUCCGGGCCCCAUAACUGCAGUUGUGUUAAUCUGUAAAUUCAGCUUCCUCAAGAUCUUUUCUAGACCCUUGCAGCCUUCCUUGACCCUCCAAGGAGCUAGAAAUGAAAACUGAGUCCUUCUCUCUGGUUCUCUGUGUGACAAGCUUUAUCCCCUUCCCUCCCCUCUUGAGAACCAAGAAAAGGGUGAGAGCAAAAGAAACCCACACCAGCCCUCCCUUCCUGGCCAAGGAUUCAGCCCUCCCCUCAUCACAGUAGCUUGACCUUGGGGUCACAGCCCAUAAACAGCCUGAUUAGAGGUGAUGCCCAGAAGCAUGGGCUAUGGGCCCAAAGAGUCUCUCUGACCCCUUGGGGAGCACCCUUCCCCCUCAUCUGCCUCUGGGUCUCCCUGCCCUGCUUAACUGCUGCACUCCAGCUCCAUCCUGGAGCUCAUUAUUAUGCAGGGCUAUAGCUUCUGGGCUGUGGGAUCCAGGAUAACUUCUGACUUGCUUUGCACAACUCUGAGUAAUUUCUUGGUUUAUCAUUUUCUUACACAGUAUUCAACAUUUUCCCACAAAAUAGUCCUUAGCAUCUCUGAAAGGAGGUAGAAGUCUGAAAAGAAUUGAGGGUUGUAAAGGGGUCUCUCUAGUAAGCAAGGACUGUCCUUCUGUGCCCCCUCUACCACAAGUAGGAAACUGUAUUUGGGUUCCCACAGAAACCAAAUUUCAUCUUGGCUCCUGUCUGCCGUGGACCAUUUGUGGCUGAAGGCAAAGAUGAGAAAUCCCAGGAAAGGCUGCCAGAGGCCUCACCUCUUCCUGUAGGGUCUGGGAAUGGCCUCAGACAUGCGGGCUCAGAGACCUGACUAAGCAGCAAUGCGCAGGUCUGUCUCCCCAGUCUGAACGACUGAGCCAAGCUCAGAAGCUGAAGCACCACACCACACACCAGUUUCUUUACCAAAAUAGGCAGCAGUGGAAGGACACUCAACUGCUCUCCAGCAUGUUCUUGGCCUAAAGGCAUAUUUCAUGGGAAGCCAGAGCACAGUGAUAGACUCAAGAGGAAAUCUCAGAGGAAGCAAGUUGGAUAAGAACUAUAAUAGGAGCCAAUAUGUCCCAGGCCUUCAUCUUCAAGUCCUUAGUGAACUGAUAUUACUCUUCUUUCAUCCUCAUUUAAACCUGAAAAGAAGACAGCUAUUAGCUUCAUGUUAUGGAUGAGCUCAGAAAGGUUGAGAAACUUGCCAAGGUCAUACGCUGGUUAGAUUAUCUCCACGGCAAGGGCACUCAGGGCAAUUGCAAGAACUCAUCUUUCCUGAAGAGCACUGCCUGUCCUACCAAUGGUCUGAUGACUCUAGCCAGGCCGCUUCUGCAGGGUGCUGACCUACCUUGGCUUGUCAAGGUCCCCAGAACACUGCAGGCUCAGACUCAUUAACUCCUCACACAGGGCUGGGCCUCCAUGGAGCAUGGAAUGAUGGAAGAGGAGCUGAGUCAAGGUGACCCCCAAAGGUUUGGGUCUGGGUGUAGACAAGGCUGGUUCUAGUCCAGCUUCUCCUUUCCUUCCCAAAUGCUCUCAAGAGUGCUUUUGAUUGUUUGGGCUACCUAACAGCUAGAUCCCUUCUAAACUUCCCCUGCCCUCCUUUUGUGGUCUGGGAGGACAGAGAUCAGAGGCCCAGACAAGGAACUGCUCUUCCUCUAUAGACUCGAUCUUAAGCAGACUGUCCUACCAUGACUCCACUUAGACUUGUCUACUUCCCAGCACCCAGGCCACCUCUUCAGCACAUUUCUGCUUAUCCUUGCCAGAUGUCCAGCUUUCCCAUCAAAUCUUGGAGCCUACUUACAACCCUGGAGCCCUCACUGGCUCUGCUCUCUGAUGUCCUUGUCUGUGCCCAAGGCCUCAGAAACUCUGUAGUCAUGACCACUUCCAAAUAUAUACCUCUAGCCCAGAUCUCUGACCAACUGGACAUCUCUAUCUAGAUGUCCCAAAGACACCUAAGCUCAGAACAUCCCAAAUGUAUUUCAUCAUCUUCUCUCCAACCCACUCUUAUUCCUAUGCUUCUUUAUCAGACACAGACACCACCAUCCAUGCUUUCAUCCAGUUCCCCAAAUUUGGCAUCUUCCUUGUCUUCUUCCCCUCCCUAACCUCCACAUCUAGUCAGUCAUCAAGACCUGUCCUUGUCGGGAGUUCCUGUCGUGGUUCAGCAGGCUAAGAACCCAACAUAGUGUCCGUGCGGAUGCGGGUUCAAUCCCUGGGCUCGUUCAGUGGGUUAAGGAUCCAACAUUAAUUUAAGGAUCCAAGAGCAAUUUAAAAACAAGCUGGAGGGUAGUUUGCCAACGUGGCUUGGAUCUGGCAUAGGCCAGCAGUUGCAGCUCUGAUUCGACUCCUAGCCCUGGAACUUCCAUAUGCUAUGGUGUGGCCCUAAAAAGGAAAACAAAAAAACAAACAAAAAAAAAACCCUGUCUUUUCUUUCUACCUUCUUUAAAGCUCUAGAAUCUGUUUCUUGGCUGCCACCACAAUCACCCUCUUGGACACCUAGAACAGUCUCCUCCCUGUUGUCUCUGCUUCCAUGCUAGCUCCCUCCCUUGCAUUCUCAAUUUGGCCACCAGAGGGCUUUUUCUAAAACACAAAUCUCAUCAGGUUUUCCUGAAAACUAGUGCCUCAGAACUGUAUCUAAAGCCAUUUAAAGGAACAGAAAACACAUUCUUUCCAAGUAUACCAGGAACGGUCUCCGGAAUAGAUCACAUGCUUAGCCACAAAGCAUACCUUGAUAAAUCUGAGAAAACCAAAUUAAGCAUCUUUUCUGACCACAAUGAAAUCAACUACAAGAAAAAAAGAAAAAAAAAAAAACUGCAAAAACUACAAACACAUGGAGUCUAAAUAAUAUGCUACUAAAAAACCAAUGGGUGGCUAAAGAACUCAGAGAGGAAAUCAGAAAACACCUAGAGACAAGUGAAAAUGAAAACACGACAAUCCAAAACUUAUGGUCCAAAAGCAGUUGUAAGUGGUAGUUUAUAGUGGUACAAUCUUAUCUCAGGAAAUAAGAAAAAACUCAAAUAAACAACCUAAUCUUACACCUAAAACAACUCAAAAAAAAAUAACAAAUAAAACCCAAAGUUAGUAGAAGGAAAGAAAUCAUAAAGAUUAGAGCAAAAAUAAAUGAAAUAGAGACUAAAAAAAAACAAAAGAAAGGACCAAUGAAAUGAAAAGCUGGUUCUUUGAAAAGAUGAAUAAAACUGAUAAACCUUUAGCCACACUCAUCAAGAAAAAGAGGGGAGAAGACCCAAAUCAAUAAAGUCAGAAAUGAAAAAGGGGAAGUUACAACAGACACCACAAAUAUAUAAAGGAUCAUAAGAGACUACUACAAGCAACUAUAUGCUAAUAAAAUGGACAGUAUAGAAGAAACAGACAAAUUCUUAGAAAGGGAAAUCUUCCCAAGACUAAGCCAGGAAGAAGUAGAAAAUAUGAAUAGACCAAUUACAAGUACUAAAAUUGAAACAGUAAUUUAAAAACUUCCAACGAAGUCCAGGAGAAUUCUAUCAAACAUUUAGAGAAGCGUUAACAUCUAUCCUUCUGAAACUCUUGCAAAAAACUGCAGAUGAAGGAACAUUCCCAAACACAUUCUGUGAGGUCACCAUUACUCCGAUACCAAAACCAGAGAAAGACACCACCAAAAAAACAUAGUGCAAAAAUCCUCAACAAAAUACUAGCAAAUUGAAUGUAACAAUACAUUAAAGAAUCAUAUACUAUGAUCAAGUGGGAUUUAUCCCAGAUGCAAGACCUUUUCAAUAUCCACAAAUCAAUAUGAUACAAGCUGAAGAGGAGAAACUGGAUUAACAAAAUAAGAAUAGAAACUAUAUUAUAAUUUCAGUAGAUUUGAAAAAGACUUUGAUAAAAUUCAACAUGGCUUUAUAGUGAAAACUCGCCAGAAAGUAGCCAUGGAGGAAACCUACAUCAACAAAAUAAAGACUAUAUGACAAAUCCAGAGUUAAUGUCAUUCUCAAUGGUGAAAAAAUGAAAGAACUAGGAUCAGUAACAAGACAAUAAUGCCCACUUUUGACAGUUUUAUUCAACAUAAUAUUGGAAGUUUAGCCACAGCAAUCAGAGAAGAACAGGAAAGAAAAGGAAUCCAAAUUGGAAAAGAAGUAAAACAGUCACUGUUUGCAGAAGACAUGAUGCUAUACAUACAAAAUCCUAAAGACACUACCGGAAAACUAUUAGAGCUCAUCAAUGCAUUUAGAAAAGUUGCUAGAUACAAACAUUCUUUUUUUUUUUUUUAUAGGGCUGAAUCUGUGGCAUAUGGAAUUUCCCAGGCUAGAGGUCAAAUCAGAGCUGUAGCUGCCAACCUAUCCCAUAGCCAUAGCAAUGGGGGAUCUGAGCCAUGUCUACAACCUACACACACCUCAUGGCAAUGCCAUAUCCUUAACCCACUGAGCGAGGCCAGGGAUCGAACCUGCAUCGUCACGGAUACUAGUGAGGUUUGUAACCCACUGAGUCACAAAGGGAACUCCCCGGAUACAAAAUUAAUACCCAGAAAUCUGUUGCAUUCCUAUACACCAGCCACAAAAUGGAAGAAAGUAAGGAAAUAAUCCCAUUUACCAUCACAUUGAAAAGAAUAAGACACCUAGGAAUAAAACUACCUAAGCAGGCAAAAGACCUGUACUCCCAAAACUAUAAGUCGCUGAUGAAAGAAAUUGAAGACGACACAAAUAUGUGGAAAGAUAUACCAUGUUCUUGGAUUGGAAGAAUCAAUAUUGUUAAAGUGACCAUACUACCCAAGGCAAUCUAUAGAUUCAAUUCAAUCCGCUAUCAAAUUACCAAUGGCAUUUUUCAUAAGAACUAGAACUAGCCUGACUUCAGACAAUACUACAAAGCUACAGUCAUCAAAACAGUAUGAUACUGGCACAAAAACAGAAAUACAGAUCAAUGGAACAGGAUAGAAAGUCCGGAAAUAAACCCACACACUUAUGGUCAAUUAAUCUAUGACAAGGGGGAGGCAAGAUAUACAAUGGAGAAAAGACAGUCUCUUCAGUAAGUGGUCAGCUACAUGUAAAAGAAUGAAAUUGGAACAUUCUCUAACACUAUAUACACAAAUAAACUCAAAAUGGAGUAAAGACUUAAAUGUAAACCAGAUACUAUAAAACUCUGAGAGGAGGAGUUUCUGUUGUGGCUCAGUUGUAAUGAACCUGACUAGUAUUCAUGAGGACACAGGUUGGAUCCCUCUCUCAAUGGGCUAAGGAUCUUGUGUUGCUGUGGCUGUGGCAUAGGUUGGUGGCUGCAACACUGAUUCAGCCCCUAGCCUGGGAACUUCUAUAUGCCACAGGUGUGGCAGUAUAAAGACAAAAAAACAAACCAAACCAAACCAAAAAAAAAAAAAAAAAAA
This 6478-nucleotide long non-coding RNA is filed under the name Sus scrofa (pig). Its description in RNAcentral is "lncRNA (ENSSSCG00040029578.1)". Lineage: Eukaryota; Metazoa; Chordata; Mammalia; Artiodactyla; Suidae. The record is from RNAcentral.